Molecule: ribosomal RNA, 229 nt
Filed under: uncultured bacterium
Lineage: Bacteria
Description: partial 16S ribosomal RNA
Rfam family: Bacterial small subunit ribosomal RNA
Source: RNAcentral
UGCGUAGGCGGAUUAAUAAGUCAGUGGUGAAAUCUCUCGGCUCAACCGAGAAACUGCCAUUGAUACUGUUGAUCUUGAGUUCGGUUGAGGUAGGCGGAAUGUGUAAUGUAGCGGUGAAAUGCUUAGAUAUUACACAGAACACCAAUUGCGUAGGCAGCUUACUAGACCGACACUGACGCUGAGGCACGAAAGCGUGGGGAGCGAACAGGAUUAGAUACCCUGGUAGUCC